RNAcentral lists this ribosomal RNA (472 nucleotides) under uncultured bacterium. RNAcentral's name for it is "partial 16S ribosomal RNA". It matches the Rfam family "Bacterial small subunit ribosomal RNA", at positions 28 to 507 of the family's 1533-position model. The record is from RNAcentral.
GACGAACGCUGGCGGCGUGCUUAACACAUGCAAGUCGAACGAUGAAGCCCAGCUUGCUGGGUGGAUUAGUGGCGAACGGGUGAGUAAUACGUGAGUAACCUGCCUUUAACUCUGGGAUAAGCUUUGGAAACGGGGUCUAAUACCGGAUACGACCAACCCUCGCAUGGGGUGUUGGUGGAAAGGGAUUUUGUACUGGUUUUAGAUGGGCUCACGGCCUAUCAGCUUGUUGGUGAGGUAACGGCUCACCAAGGCGACGACGGGUAGCCGGCCUGAGAGGGUGACCGGCCACACUGGGACUGAGACACGGCCCAGACUCCUACGGGAGGCAGCAGUGGGGAAUAUUGCACAAUGGGCGCAAGCCUGAUGCAGCGACGCCGCGUGAGGGAUGACGACCUUCGGGUUGUAAACCUCUUUCAGCAGGGGAGAAGCGAAAGUGACGGUACCUGCAGAAGAAGCGCCGGCUAACUACGUG